UUGGAUAUUGGGCGAGCGCGGUCGGUCCGUCGCAGGGCGUGCNACUGGUCGCGUUCGNNCNCUCGACUUCGGUUCUCUGUCGGUGCUCUUGACUGAGUGUCGGCGGUGGCCGAGAAGUUUACUUUGAAAAAAUUAGAGUGUUCAAAGCAGGCUGGUCGCCUGAAUAGUGUUGCAUGGAAUAAUGGAAUAGGACCUCGGUUCUAUUUUGUUGGUUUUCGGAACGNGAGGUAAUGAUUAAGAGGGACAGACGGGGGUGUCCGUACUCUGCCGNUUAGAGGUGAAAUUCUUGGAUCGGCGGAAGACGNACUACUGCG
RNAcentral lists this ribosomal RNA (314 nucleotides) under Botrylloides diegensis. Its description in RNAcentral is "partial 18S ribosomal RNA". The stretch from base 105 to 314 matches the Rfam family "Eukaryotic small subunit ribosomal RNA", at positions 738 to 947 of the family's 1831-position model. The record is from RNAcentral. Lineage: Eukaryota; Metazoa; Chordata; Ascidiacea; Stolidobranchia; Styelidae.